RNAcentral lists this ribosomal RNA (253 nucleotides) under uncultured bacterium. RNAcentral's name for it is "partial 16S ribosomal RNA". It matches the Rfam family "Bacterial small subunit ribosomal RNA", at positions 524 to 776 of the family's 1533-position model. The record is from RNAcentral.
GACAGAGGGUGCAAACGUUGUUCGGAAUUACUGGGCGUAAAGCGCGUGUAGGCGGCUCGGAAAGUCGGAUGUGAAAGCCCAGGGCUCAACCCUGGAAGUGCACUCGAAACUCCCGAGCUGGAGUCCCGGAGAGGAAGGCGGAGUUCUCGGUGUAGAGGUGAAAUUCGUAGAUAUCGAGAGGAACACCUGUGGCGAAGGCGGCCUUCUGGACGGUGACUGACGCUGAGACGCGAAAGCGUGGGGAGCAAACAGG